RNAcentral lists this ribosomal RNA (785 nucleotides) under uncultured Alphaproteobacteria bacterium. RNAcentral describes it as "bacterial SSU rRNA". It matches the Rfam family "Bacterial small subunit ribosomal RNA", at positions 46 to 880 of the family's 1533-position model. The record is from RNAcentral. Lineage: Bacteria; Pseudomonadati; Pseudomonadota; Alphaproteobacteria.
GCUUUACACAUGCAAGUCGAACGAGUACUUUUUACGAGUGGCGGACGGGUGAGUAACGCGUGGGAACCUACCUUGAGGUAAAGAAUAACUGCAGGAAACUGUAGCUAAUACUUUAUGUGCCCUACGGGGGAAAGAUUUAUCGCCUUUUGAGGGGCCCGCGUCAGAUUAGCUUGUUGGUAAGGUAAUGGCUUACCAAGGCUAUGAUCUGUAGCUGGUUUGAGAGGAUGAUCAGCCACAUUGGGACUGAGACACGGCCCAGACUCCUACGGGAGGCAGCAGUGGGGAAUCUUGGACAAUGGGGGAAACCCUGAUCCAGCAAUUCCGCGUGAAUGAUGAAGGCCUUAGGGUUGUAAAAUUCUUUUAGUAAGGAAGAUGAUGACGGUACUUACAGAAAAAGCUCCGGCUAACUCCGUGCCAGCAGCCGCGGUAAUACGGAGGGGGCAAGCGUUGUUCGGAAUUACUGGGCGUAAAGAGCGAGCAGGUGGUUCAUUAAGUCAAUUGUGAAAUCUCAAGGCUUAACCUUGAAAUUGCUUUUGAUACUGAUGGGCUAGAGUUUGGGAGAGGAUAGUGGAAUUCUAAGUGUAGAAGUGAAAUUCGUAGAUAUUUAGAGGAACAUCGAUAGCGAAGGCAACUAUCUGGCCCUUUACUGACACUCAGAAGCGAAAGCUUGGGUAGCAAACAGGAUUAGAUACCCUGGUAGUCCAUGCUGUAAACGAUGAGUGCUAGAUGUUAGAAGUUUUACUUUUAGUAUCGAAGCUAACGCGUUAAGCACUCCGCCUGGGGAG